AUACAUGCAAGUCGAACGAGCUUCCGUUGAAUGACGUGCUUGCACUGAUUUCAACAAUGAAGCGAGUGGCGAACUGGUGAGUAACACGUGGGGAAUCUGCCCAGAAGCAGGGGAUAACACUUGGAAACAGGUGCUAAUACCGUAUAACAACAAAAUCCGCAUGGAUUUUGUUUGAAAGGUGGCUUCGGCUAUCACUUCUGGAUGAUCCCGCGGCGUAUUAGUUAGUUGGUGAGGUAAAGGCCCACCAAGACGAUGAUACGUAGCCGACCUGAGAGGGUAAUCGGCCACAUUGGGACUGAGACACGGCCCAAACUCCUACGGGAGGCAGCAGUAGGGAAUCUUCCACAAUGGACGAAAGUCUGAUGGAGCAAUGCCGCGUGAGUGAAGAAGGGUUUCGGCUCGUAAAACUCUGUUGUUAAAGAAGAACACCUUUGAGAGUAACUGUUCAAGGGUUGACGGUAUUUAACCAGAAAGCCACGGCUAACUACGUGCCAGCAGCCGCGGUAAUACGUAGGUGGCAAGCGUUGUCCGGAUUUAUUGGGCGUAAAGCGAGCGCAGGCGGUUUUUUAAGUCUGAUGUGAAAGCCUUCGGCUUAACCGGAGAAGUGCAUCGGAAACUGGGAGACUUGAGUGCAGAAGAGGACAGUGGAACUCCAUGUGUAGCGGUGGAAUGCGUAGAUAUAUGGAAGAACACCAGUGGCGAAGGCGGCUGUCUAGUCUGUAACUGACGCUGAGGCUCGAAAGCAUGGGUAGCGAACAGGAUUAGAUACCCUGGUAGUCCAUGCCGUAAACGAUGAGUGCUAAGUGUUGGAGGGUUUCCGCCCUUCAGUGCUGCAGCUAACGCAUUAAGCACUCCGCCUGGGGAGUACGACCGCAAGGUUGAAACUCAAAGGAAUUGACGGGGGCCCGCACAAGCGGUGGAGCAUGUGG
This 929-nucleotide ribosomal RNA is filed under the name Levilactobacillus brevis. Its description in RNAcentral is "bacterial SSU rRNA". It matches the Rfam family "Bacterial small subunit ribosomal RNA", at positions 51 to 944 of the family's 1533-position model. Lineage: Bacteria; Bacillati; Bacillota; Bacilli; Lactobacillales; Lactobacillaceae. The record is from RNAcentral.